ACAAAGAGAGUAGCGCACUGGUGAGUAACACGUGGGAACGUACCUUGAAGUGGGGAAUAGCGUCUGGAAACGGAUGAUAAUACCGCAUAAUCCCUGAGGGGGAAAGAUUUAUCGCUUUAAGAACGGCCCGCGGAAGAUUAGGUAGUUGGUGGGGUAAAGGCCUACCAAGCCUACGACCUAUAGCUGGUCUGAGAGGACGAUCAGCCACAUUGGAACUGAGACACGGUCCAAACUCCUACGGAAGGCAGCAG
This 251-nucleotide ribosomal RNA is filed under the name uncultured bacterium. Its description in RNAcentral is "partial 16S ribosomal RNA". It matches the Rfam family "Bacterial small subunit ribosomal RNA", at positions 86 to 354 of the family's 1533-position model. The record is from RNAcentral.